GUACACCAGGCGAGAUAGUCAACAUCUCCUAGCCACCGUGAUGAUGAUGAAGAGAGAGACACGCAAACUCCAAAUAUACAGCAGCAGGUGUCAGGGUCGGGUCGAACCCACGACCUCCUGUACACCAGGCGAGAUAGUCAACAUCUCCUAGCCACCGUGAUGAUGAUGAGAGAGAGAGACACGCAAACUCCAAAUAUACAGCAGCAGGUGUCAGGGUCGGGUCGAACCCACGACCUCCUGUACACCAGGCGAGAUAGUCAACAUCUCCUAGCCACCGUGAUGAUGAUGAGAGAGAGAGACACGCAAACUCCAAAUCUACAGCAGCAGGUGUCAGGGUCGGGUCGAACCCACGACCUCCUGUACACCAGGCGAGAUAGUCAACAUCUCCUAGCCACCGUGAUGAUGAUGAUGAGAGAGAGAGACACGCAAACUCCAAAUAUACAGCAGCAGGUGUCAGGGUCGGGUCGAACCCACGACCUCCUGUACACCAGGCGAGAUAGUCAACAUCUCCUAGCCACCGUGAUGAUGAUGAUGAGAGAGAGAGACACGAAAACUCCAAAUAUACAGCAGCAGGUGUCAGGGUCGGGUCGAACCCACGACCUCCUGUACACCAGGCGAGAUAGUCAACAUCUCCUAGCCACCGUGAUGAUGAUGAGAGAGAGAGACACGCAAACUCCAAAUAUACAGCAGCAGGCGUCAGGGUCGGGUCGAACCCACGACUUCCUGUAUACCAGGCGAGGUAGUUAACAUCUCGACGAGCGAGGAACGCCACUGACUACCUGCCAGUGCCGUGAAGCCACGACUCGUGACGUCCGGUUCCGAGUAAUGUUGACAGGCACCAUGGUUUCGAUUUAAAGCUUUCGUGACUGCAGGGAUUCAUCUUCUUGGUUCUUUCGGUAAAGUCACGUAGAAGAGAAAUAAUAAAAUAAUAAAAAUAAAACGAAAUCAAAUAAUUUCAUGAUCAAAAAUUUACGUGACUUUACCGAAAGAACCAAGAAGAGGCACCGCGGUGGCUAGGAGAUGUUAACUACCUCGCCUGAUGUACAUGAGGUCGUGGGUUUAAUCCCGAUCGCUGACGCCUGCUGCUGUAUAAUUGGAGUUUGCGGUUUCUCUCUCUCCGCGUGGUCGUCAAAAUUUUUUUCCGGGUCCUCCGGUUUUUCCAUUCACGGUUUAUCCACGUGCGCUUUAGAGUCAUGCGGCUGCUCCAAAUGUCUCCACGCGAUGACGAUGAGCCACUUCGUUGAGCUAUCAUUUGCGACGGCCAGGUGGUAGCUCUUGCAAAAGAACUACACGGCUCAGUGGGACCUUACACCGGGCAAAAUAUAAAAAAAAAGAGUAGAAGCAUCUUGAAAUCGAGACCCGUUUUACCUUCUCCAUCGGCGCCGACGCCAUCGAUAUAUUCUCGCGUUCCGUUCGUCCGUGGGCUGGCCGCUGCGCUGGAUGCUCUGUCGCGUGAUGCCCUAUCGAUGAUGAUGAUGAUGACGAUGGUGACGACGACGAUGACGACGACGACGACGAUGACGACGACGACGAUGACAACAAUGACGAUGACAACGAUGAUGACGACGAUGACAAUGACAACAAUGACGAUGAUGACGACAACAAUGACGAUGACAACGAUGAUGACGACGAUGACAAUGACAACAAUGACGAUGAUGA
Molecule: long non-coding RNA, 1659 nt
Organism: Lethenteron reissneri (Far Eastern brook lamprey)
Lineage: Eukaryota; Metazoa; Chordata; Hyperoartia; Petromyzontiformes; Petromyzontidae
Source: RefSeq, a predicted model, not a curated record